GACGAACGCUGGCGGCGUGCUUAACACAUGCAAGUCGAACGGUGAAGGGGUCUGCUUUUGUGGGCCCUGGAUGAGUGGCGCACGGGUGAGUAACACGUGAGUAACCUGCCCCCUUCUUCUGGAUAACCGCAUGAAAGUGUGGCUAAUACGGGAUAUUCUGGGUCUGUCGCAUGAUGGGUCUGGGAAAGAUUGCGCCUUUGGGUGUUUUUGGUGGGGGAUGGGCUCGCGGCCUAUCAGCUUGUUGGUGGGGUGAUGGCCUACCAAGGCGGUGACGGGUAGCCGGCCUGAGAGGGUGGACGGUCACACUGGGACUGAGACACGGCCCAGACUCCUACGGGAGGCAGCAGUGGGGAAUAUUGCACAAUGGGCGCAAGCCUGAUGCAGCGACGCCGCGUGAGGGAUGGAGGCCUUCGGGAUGUAAACCUCUUUCGCCAGUGAAGCAGGCCUGCUCCUUGUGGGUGGGUUGACGGUAGCUGGAGAAGAAGCGCCGGCUAACUACGUG
Molecule: ribosomal RNA, 502 nt
Filed under: uncultured bacterium
Lineage: Bacteria
Description: partial 16S ribosomal RNA
Rfam family: Bacterial small subunit ribosomal RNA
Source: RNAcentral